Molecule: ribosomal RNA, 866 nt
Filed under: Chionaster sp.
Lineage: Eukaryota; Fungi; Basidiomycota; Tremellomycetes; Chionasterales; Chionasteraceae
Description: partial large subunit ribosomal RNA
Source: RNAcentral
GCAUAUCAAUAAGCGGAGGAAAAGAAACUAACAAGGAUUCCCCUAGUAACGGCGAGUGAAGCGGGAAGAGCUCAAAUUUGUAAUCUGGCGUCUUCGACGUCCGAGUUGUAAUCUCGAGAAGUGUUUUCCGCGCCGGACCGCAUACAAGUCUGUUGGAAUACAGCGUCAUAGUGGUGAGAGCCCCGUAACUGAUGCGGAUGCCCGGUGCUUUGUGAUACACUUUCGAAGAGUCGAGUUGUUUGGGAAUGCAGCUCAAAUUGGGUGGUAAAUUCCAUCUAAAGCUAAAUAUUGGCGAGAGACCGAUAGCGAACAAGUACCGUGAGGGAAAGAUGAAAAGCACUUUGGAAAGAGAGUUAACAGUACGUGAAAUUGUUGGAAGGGAAACGAUUGAGGUCAGACUUGCUAUUCGGAAUUCAGCCGCAAGGUGUACUUUUCGAUUUGCAGGCCAGCAUCAGUUUUCGGGGGYGGAAAAGGGUAAGNWGAAGGUAGCAGUUUCGGCUGUGUUAUAGCUUCUUACUGGAUUCRUCUUUGGGGACUGAGGAACGCAGCACGCUUUUAGCGAGACYUUCGGGUCUUUCGUGCUUAGGAUGCUGGUGGAAUGGCCUUAAACGACCCGUCUUGAAACACGGACCAAGGAGUCUAACAUGCUUGCGAGUGUUUGGGUGUCAAACCCGAACGCGCAAUGAAAGUGAAUGGAGGUGGGAUGCGCAAGCAGCACCAUCGACCGAUCUGGAUUUUUUAAGAUGGAUUUGAGUAAGAGCAAUUAUGUUGGGACCCGAAAGAUGGUGAACUAUGCCUGAAUAGGGCGAAGCCAGAGGAAACUCUGGUGGAGGCUCGUAGCGGUUCUGACGUGCAAAUCGAUCGUC